Molecule: ribosomal RNA, 254 nt
Filed under: uncultured bacterium
Lineage: Bacteria
Description: partial 16S ribosomal RNA
Rfam family: Bacterial small subunit ribosomal RNA
Source: RNAcentral
UACGUAGGGUGCGAGCGUUAAUCGGAAUUACUGGGCGUAAAGCGUGCGCAGGCGGGUCGGCGCGUCGGUCGCUGAAAGCCCCCGGCUCAACCGGGGAAUGGGCGCCGAAACGACCGGUCUGGAGGGGCGUAGGGGGAUCGGGAACUUCCGGUGGAGCGGUGAAAUGCGUUGAGAUCGGAAGGAACGCCCGUGGCGAAAGCGCGGUCCUGGACGCCACCUGACGCUGAGACGCGAAAGCCAGGGGAGCGAACGGG